RNAcentral lists this long non-coding RNA (204 nucleotides) under Elaeis guineensis (African oil palm). RNAcentral's name for it is "long non-coding RNA (EGUI_LNC066201)". The record is from RNAcentral. Lineage: Eukaryota; Viridiplantae; Streptophyta; Magnoliopsida; Arecales; Arecaceae.
UCUGGGCAUGGGUGCGUCUGACCAAAUCAUUUGAAAUGUUCAAAUGAUUCAAACGAUGAAAAAGAUGACAUAUCUAGGAGAGAAUUGGAUUCUCUCUCAGUGAAUUCUUUUUCAGAACACAGUGUAUCUGAAACGAGAAGUUGAACUUUGUUAGACAUGAUUCAAUCCACGAUAGGGUUCACUAAUCUAUCUGUUUUAGGAUUG